This 270-nucleotide unclassified non-coding RNA is filed under the name Hevea brasiliensis (rubber tree). Lineage: Eukaryota; Viridiplantae; Streptophyta; Magnoliopsida; Malpighiales; Euphorbiaceae. The record is from RNAcentral.
CUACAAGACACGAAUAUAUCAUUAGCUAAUCUCAAGGAGAUUGGUUCUAAUUCUUUCAUUUUCACUCUAAACAUGUAAAUGCAACCAAAUCUGCCUUCCUUGUUUCACAUUACAAGGUUAAAUACAUACUCUAAACAUCACAGUAAAAAUUCCUAAAAUAUGUAUUCAGCUUCAAUAUCCCUCAAACUUAGCAGACAAGGAAAAUUCUCUAAAGAUAAGAUUGACAAAUCUCAGGCUGCCUGCCUCUCUCCUAAUAUAUAAGAAUGAUGG